AUGAGGCAGCCCUUCACCCCUUCCUCCAUGUGGUUUUCCCUCCUUGCUUGUAUUUGCUUCUGUGUAUAUUGGCAAUCUCUUGGAAUAGUGACUCUCCUGACUGAUUCCUACGUCUGAAGACAGUGACGUCACCAAUUGCUUUGACCUUGGGUGUAACCCAGACCAAAGAACAUCAGACAAUAUUUUGCAUUGUGUUUCAGGGUUUUGCUGGCUUCAGGGUUUGCUGGUAGAAUAUGGAGUCUUCCACCUGUAAGGCCUUUGGUCUGUAUCCACAGUAAACUGAAAAGUGCAAAAUCUUUUUUUUUUUUUUUUAUUUUUCUCAGUG
Molecule: long non-coding RNA, 325 nt
Organism: Melopsittacus undulatus (budgerigar)
Lineage: Eukaryota; Metazoa; Chordata; Aves; Psittaciformes; Psittaculidae
Exons: 3
Source: RefSeq, a predicted model, not a curated record